GCGAUCACCGACGCUCACAGGGCAGCGAGAACUUCCAAUCCGCAGGUUGCAGGUUCUAGUCCUGCCGGCUCGUUCCA
Molecule: transfer RNA, 77 nt
Filed under: Chloroflexota bacterium
Lineage: Bacteria; Bacillati; Chloroflexota
Description: Chloroflexi bacterium tRNA-Gly
Source: RNAcentral